This 273-nucleotide small RNA is filed under the name Pongo abelii (Sumatran orangutan). The stretch from base 84 to 237 matches the Rfam family "Metazoan signal recognition particle RNA", at positions 96 to 252 of the family's 299-position model. From Rfam's summary of the family: The signal recognition particle (SRP) is a universally conserved ribonucleoprotein. Lineage: Eukaryota; Metazoa; Chordata; Mammalia; Primates; Hominidae. The record is from RNAcentral.
CCAUGGAAGUAGAAAGGAGCAGGGGACUGUUAGCAGCAUAGGAUUGAGGAGUUGGAAGAGACCCUUAGAACAGCUGGUCAUUAUGCCGAUGGGGUGUCCGCACUAAGUUCGGCAUCAAUAUGGUGACCUGGGAGUGGGGGACCACCAGGUUGCCUAAGGAUGGGUAAACUGGCCCAGGUCAGAAAUGGAGCAGGUCAGAACUCCCAGGUAGAUAGGUAGUGGGACUGUGCCUGGGCAACACAGCGGGACCUUGGCUCUUUAAAAACAUGCAAU